Molecule: non-coding RNA, 52 nt
Filed under: Trypanosoma brucei brucei TREU927
Lineage: Eukaryota; Euglenozoa; Kinetoplastea; Trypanosomatida; Trypanosomatidae
Source: RNAcentral
AGAAAGAUACCGAGUCGGAGCAGUCCCGCUCAUCAUCGAAGAAGCCUGAGGA